This 880-nucleotide long non-coding RNA is filed under the name Ursus maritimus (polar bear). RNAcentral's name for it is "lncRNA (ENSUMAG00000025367.1)". Lineage: Eukaryota; Metazoa; Chordata; Mammalia; Carnivora; Ursidae. The record is from RNAcentral.
AUCACAGACAACACUGCAGGGCUGGGGGAUCAAAAGGGAAAAAAAAGUCUUGAAAAAGCUGAGCUUCCAAUCUCCUCCCACUGGUCUCUGUGAAGGAUGACUUCAGUCCCUUUCUUAACUAAUUCUGUCACUGUAAAAUCCUACAGUCAUUCUUCCACACAUAAAGGACAAAUAAGCUCAAGAGGAGGAUCUAGAUGCUUUCAGUUUUAACUAUUCACCAAUGGUGGAAAAGGCAGAGUGCCUAAGCUAUGGCUGGGUGGCCAAUAGGACGGCUGUGUGUCUCCCACAUGACUCGCUGCCCCUGGCUUUCACAUGGGCUGUAAUUUAGUUCAAUUCAGAACUGCAGACAGUACAGCUUUCACAGGAGCAAGGGAUGCCUGAGCACAAGUGGCUGAGUUCCGAGUGACUUUGUGAAGCACUUUCCUACCUCCCUCCUUCAGGAAAACGGGGAUUCUGCACCUGCAUCAGGGACAGUCUGGCAAAAGCCUCUGCUGUGCCUCCGGGGACAAGGAACUAGCACAAAUAACCAUUCUGAAAUUGGAUCUUGGAAAAAUUUGUAACGAAUCCAUAAAGGAAACUGAAAGCAGUUUGAUCUUCAUCUUCAAUGACAGUCCCACAAAAGUUGAAGAAAUAUGUUAUGUCUCCAAAGAAGAGUACAGUCGUGCCCUAAAAUUAGGACAUGAUUAAGGACGACAGGAGGUGCGGCAGAAAUGAGGGGAAGGCCAGGAAAAUACAAACGUCUUCAGUCAGGAUAUCACUAAGCUCCUACGCCAGCCGUGAACUGCCUACCUUUCAGUUUCUUAUUAUCACCAAAUGAACGAAUGGAUUCGUAAAUGAGUGAGAGAAUAAAUAAACUCUGAUUUUUAUUAAAGUAAUUAUC